AUGCACACCAGUCUGGUAUCAAAGCGUAUCUACUUGAAAAGGAGACUACUUGAACAGAUGAAAUGGAAGGAAGAAAUGAAAGUUCGAUCUACCAACGUAGAGUCUGCCCCUCCCAGGAAGAAGAAAUUUGCUACUUUGGCUCAUCAGUUGGUAAGUCUGUCUAUGAAGUUCAGUGCCCAGAAAAGAGAAAAAAAGACCAAAACAAGCUUUUUCAAGCUCUACAAGUCCUAUAUAUAUAGUGUUCCACUAGAUAGCCGUGUUAAACUAGUCCAGUCUUGCCGAGUGGCCUUAUCUUCUGGUUACCUGGUCCGGUACUUCUACUUCGAGAGUGAGUUAGUAAACAGGAUCAACUUUAUGAUCCAUUUUGAGAAAUUGCAAUCACAGAAUCAGAACGAGUGGGUAUAG
This 405-nucleotide ribosomal RNA is filed under the name Triticum aestivum (bread wheat). RNAcentral's name for it is "partial small subunit ribosomal RNA". Lineage: Eukaryota; Viridiplantae; Streptophyta; Magnoliopsida; Poales; Poaceae. The record is from RNAcentral.